GAGUGAAAGAGAUCCUGAAACCGUGUGCCUACAAAUAGUCAGAGCCCGUUAACGGGUGAUGGCGUGCCUUUUGUAGAAUGAACCGGCGAGUUACGAUCCCGUGCGAGGUUAAGCUGAAGAGGCGGAGCCGCAGCGAAAGCGAGUCUGAAUAGGGCGUUUAGUACGUGGUCGUAGACCCGAAACCAGGUGAUCUACCCAUGUCCAGGGUGAAGUUCAGGUAACACUGAAUGGAGGCCCGAACCCACGCACGUUGAAAAGUGCGGGGAUGAGGUGUGGGUAGCGGAGAAAUUCCAAUCGAACCUGGAGAUAGCUGGUUCUCCCCGAAAUAGCUUUAGGGCUAGCCUUAAGUGUAAGAGUCUUGGAGGUAGAGCACUGAUUGGACUAGGGGCCUCAUCGGAUUACCGAAUUCAGUCAAACUCCGAAUGCCAAUGACUUAUCCUUAGGAGUCAGACUGCGAGUGAUAAGAUCCGUAGUCAAAAGGGAAACAGCCCAGACCGCCAGCUAAGGUCCCAAAGUGUGUAUUAAGUGGAAAAGGAUGUGGAGUUGCUUAGACAACUAGGAUGUUGGCUUAGAAGCAGCCACCAUUUAAAGAGUGCGUAAUAGCUCACUAGUCGAGUGACUCUGCGCCGAAAAUGUACCGGGGCUAAAUACACCACCGAAGCUGCGGAUUGAUACCAAUGGUAUCAGUGGUAGGGGAGCGUUCUAAGGACAGUGAAGUCAGACCGGAAGGACUGGUGGAGUGCUUAGAAGUGAGAAUGCCGGUAUGAGUAGCGAAAGACGGGUGAGAAUCCCGUCCACCGAAUGCCUAAGGUUUCCUGAGGAAGGCUCGUCCGCUCAGGGUUAGUCAGGACCUAAGCCGAGGCCGACAGGCGUAGGCGAUGGACAACAGGUUGAUAUUCCUGUACCACCUCUUUAUCGUUUGGAGCAAUGGAGGGACGCAGAAGGAUAGAAGAAGCGUGCGAUUGGUUGUGCACGUCCAAGCAGUUAGGCUGAUAAGUAGGCAAAUCCGCUUAUCGUGAAGGCUGAGCUGUGAUGGGGAAGCUCCUUAUGGAGCGAAGUCUUUGAUUCCCCGCUGCCAAGAAAAGCUUCUAGCGAGAUAAAAGGUGCCUGUACCGCAAACCGACACAGGUAGGCGAGGAGAGAAUCCUAAGGUGUGCGAGAGAACUCUGGUUAAGGAACUCGGCAAAAUGACCCCGUAACUUCGGGAGAAGGGGUGCUUUCUUAACGGAAAGCCGCAGUGAAUAGGCCCAAGCGACUGUUUAGCAAAAACACAGCUCUCUGCGAAGCCGUAAGGCGAAGUAUAGGGGGUGACACCUGCCCGGUGCUGGAAGGUUAAGGAGAGGGGUUAGCGUAAGCGAAGCUCUGAACUGAAGCCCCAGUAAACGGCGGCCGUAACUAUAACGGUCCUAAGGUAGCGAAAUUCCUUGUCGGGUAAGUUCCGACCCGCACGAAAGGUGUAACGAUUUGGGCACUGUCUCAACCAGAGACUCGGUGAAAUUAUAGUACCUGUGAAGAUGCAGGUUACCCGCGACAGGACGGAAAGACCCCGUGGAGCUUUACUGUAGCCUGAUAUUGAAUUUUGGUACAGUUUGUACAGGAUAGGCGGGAGCCUUUGAAACCGGAGCGCUAGCUUCGGUGGAGGCGCUGGUGGGAUACCGCCCUGACUGUAUUGAAAUUCUAACCUACGGGUCUUAUCGACCCGGGAGACAGUGUCAGGUGGGCAGUUUGACUGGGGCGGUCGCCUCCUAAAGUGUAACGGAGGCGCCCAAAGGUUCCCUCAGAAUGGUUGGAAAUCAUUCGUAGAGUGCAAAGGCAUAAGGGAGCUUGACUGCGAGACCUACAAGUCGAGCAGGGACGAAAGUCGGGCUUAGUGAUCCGGUGGUUCCGCAUGGAAGGGACAUCGCUCAACGGAUAAAAGCUACCCCGGGGAUAACAGGCUUAUCUCCCCCAAGAGUCCACAUCGACGGGGAGGUUUGGCACCUCGAUGUCGGCUCAUCGCAUCCUGGGGCUGUAGUCGGUCCCAAGGGUUGGGCUGUUCGCCCAUUAAAGCGGUACGCGAGCUGGGUUCAGAACGUCGUGAGACAGUUCGGUCCCUAUCCGUCGUGGGCGUAGGAAAUUUGAGAGGAGCUGUCCUUAGUACGAGAGGACCGGGAUGGACGCACCGCUGGUGUACCAGUUGUUCUGCCAAGGGCAUAGCUGGGUAGCUAUGUGCGGAAGGGAUAAGUGCUGAAAGCAUCUAAGCAUGAAGCCCCCCUCAAGAUGAGAUUUCCCAUAGCGUAAGCUAGUAAGAUCCCUGAAAGAUGAUCAGGUUGAUAGGUUCGAGGUGGAAGCAUGGUGACAUGUGGAGCUGACGAAUACUAAUAGAUCGAGGACUUAACCAUAUAA
Molecule: ribosomal RNA, 2385 nt
Filed under: Bacillus anthracis (anthrax bacterium)
Lineage: Bacteria; Bacillati; Bacillota; Bacilli; Caryophanales; Bacillaceae
Description: partial 23S ribosomal RNA
Rfam family: Bacterial large subunit ribosomal RNA
Source: RNAcentral